Molecule: small RNA, 3920 nt
Filed under: Drosophila pseudoobscura pseudoobscura
Lineage: Eukaryota; Metazoa; Arthropoda; Insecta; Diptera; Drosophilidae
Description: GA30565
Source: RNAcentral
UGGCAGACUUCUCAGUAAAAUAACAACUAUAGGUUUGCCGUAGCCUAGGCAAUGCUAUAGUUGUUAUUUUACUCCUCUUCAAAGAGAUAUAACAUAGGUACGAUGUGGAAUAACCAUGAAUGGGGUUUAUUCGAGAGAUGGAGACGGGCCUUUUCUUUUCUUGUUUUUUUUUUGCCUGCCCUGCCCCAAAAGGAUGUCGCGGGAGCAGAUGUGCACUUGCAGAUACAUAAAUGCAUAUUUACGAGUCUGCUAUACCCUCCCCCCAUUCCAUUCGCAUCUGGGCUGUUGCUAAAUUUAUGUAUUUCUUUUGUGUGUGCUUAUUUUCGCAAUCGCUCAAUGGUGGGUCAGUGGCACACCAUCUGCUUCUGACCGCAAAUCGUGAUCGCGACUGCCCGAAGCAACGGCAACGGCCACCGAUCCGAUGCCGCUACUCCACUUAGUUUCCCUUUAGUUGUAAAUUGUAGUUUCAGUAUGCCAAGUGUUUUCUCAUUAUCGUGCCAAGGCUGUCAGGAAGAGCAGAGGCAGAAGAAGAGGCAGAGGAAAUGUACAAUGGAGCGGCAGAUACGAGUAUGGCAGGUGGUCCAGCAGCCCAGACGAGAAACUUCCACAUAAUUAUGACCACUCAGUCAUCAGUCGCGUCAUUAGUGUCUACAUACAUAUGUAUAUGUACAUACUUGUGGCGUUUUGCCGCAAAGGUGGGUGCGGGUGAAUCCGAAUGGAUCUUAGUAAAUGCUUAUAAAAUUCCUAUAUUCUACGAUGUGAAUCCAGACCAGACUAUCUCCAAGUAUACUUAAAACGUAAUAUAUAAAAAUUAAAAUUGUACCAUAUGAAGAAGAGAAGCGGACAUACAUAAUUCGCCAACCGUUUCGCAAAAACGCAUAUGUACAUAUAUAAGCUGUUAGAAAUUAAUAAAUACAUACAUAUGUAUGAAUAUAUGUACAUGCUCCUCGCACGAAUAAGUGAACUUUCAGAGCUACAUUUUCUCAUUGUUCAUUUAGCAAUUAUUUAUUCCCUAUAAAUUGUAUUUGCAAUUGACGCAACGCGGCCGUGAGGGUAAAAUGAAGAGCGGUUUGGAACGGAAUGUACAAGUAGUGAUGUAGGGUGAAAGUGCGUCGCUGCUUUUCUCUCAUCCAGCUUUAUUCUGAAAUAAAUGCACAUACGAUACGAUACGUAGUGCACAUGUGUACAUGAUAUUAUUCGAUAAGAUAUUCGCUGCUUCUGGCUUCUUUUAAAAAAUGUAUAGUACGUAUUUCGACUGGAAGUUGCACGCAAUCCGCCUACGAGCUAUUUUUAGUUGAACAUUUUAUUAGAAAGAAUGACUGGAUUAAAAUUGCAAGGCUAUGGAUUUAAUGUACAUAAGAAAUUAUUUAUGUACCCUUACAGUUCAACGACCAGUAAAGUUAACGUUAAUUUAUUCAACUUUAUCAUUCUUUAAAGCUUUUGGGUUCAUGGGGACUUUCUAGGAAAUUAAAAGAGUUUGGAAUAAUAAUUAAUUCGAAAAUACAGAUCUUCUCACACAUCUUAAUUUAAGAUUUUAAAAUAUUUUUUCUCCAAUCCACACAUGACCGAUCAGCAAUUAUUCUUACACUAUAAAAUAUUGUAUCUCAAAUUUUUCUUAUGUAUGAAAUACUGUUGCAAAGUAAAGUGUGUCGCUUCUGUAUAAAAAGGCUUCGAAUCAAAAACAACCUGGGCGACUGUCGGCUCAAACUGAUUUGCGAUACUCUCACAUUCCUCUAACCAUAUUCUGCCCAGGAGCUGCUUUUGAAUUACAUACUCAUACUCGAACUGAAACUCCUACUCGUUCUUGCACUCGUACUUUUGGGGCGCAUAGACCUGCUAAUGUACUUAGUGGUAUGUACUUAAAUACAAAUUUACAUAUACAUAUGUAUGCAGGUUCACGUAAAUAAUUCUGGAUUUCCAUUCUAAGGGGGCAGCGCCUAUUCGAAUUAAUAUAAAUUAAUAAAUGCACAUUUUAUGCAGAUGUGGAUGUGGAUUUUUAUGUUGAUGCCCCUUUCUUCAUUUCACAGUGCAUACAUACAUAUAUAGAAAUAUUGAUUAUAUAGCGUACGUAAGCUCCAGCAUCGACUAAAGCAUUGCCAUAACACCCAUGAUUAAUUUUUUUGUAUGGCCAACUGUUUAUAUAGCACAUAAGAAAAUUUAUUUCUUUGGUUAGGCUCCUGCAUGCUCUUCUUUGCAUUUGAAACGCGACCUUGAUAGCAUAAGUUACUUUGAAAGAGUUAAGACAUUAGUUCUGCUGUUCUGUUCGUAACAUAGCUUAGGUCCAUACGUUUAAGGAAAAUCGAUAUAGUUCGACAUGUUCUGGACACUCCAUGGACGAAAAUCAAUGAAAUGGCAGCAGUGGCAGCGUUGAACUCCAUUAUGUCUCUCGUGUGUGUGUCUAUUUUGUGUACAUACUUAGUAUAUCUAUAUGCACAUGCUUAUGUACAUGCAUCUAAGGGUUCGGAUAUGCUUAUCGGAUGUACAUACAUAUAAAUAUAUAGCAGAAUGCAUACAUAAAUGCAUAAACAUUUAUGUGCAUGCUACAGCGCCAUGACGACGACCGGAAAUGCAUCCAGAGCGUAUACACACACGCACACACACGCAAAAAGUGCAACACAUAAACAUGAGCCAGACAGAAAGAGUCAACAAAAGUGUGAGUCUGUGUGCGAGAGCGUGUGUGUGUGUGUGUGUGUGUGUGAGGGAGAGCGAGAGAGAGGCCUUGAAGUAGACAUUAAAUCGUGCACAAAUUUGCAUGCCAUCGACCAGGACCAGAACCUGGACCUGACUGUGGGUGCAACAUAGCAGAACAGAAGGCACUGCUGCAAAGGGGUGGGGCUCAGGAGGGUGGGCAGCGCGGGUCUACGUGGUGGUUGUUGCAUUGGUCAUUCCUGUUGCCGUCAUAUAAGGGAUGUUACUGCAGAAAGUGCAGCGGGAGAGCUGAAUGCAACCAAAAAUUGCACUUGAGCCGCACUUUACCCGAGUGUGGGCGUGGGCGGUAUAGGGGAUGAUGCAACGAAAAUGCAUGCGAAACGUGGUACGGGGCAGACGAAUUGCGUACUAUACAUACAAGCACACACAUGAGCCAACAUGGCAAAGCAGGAGAAGUCUGUGCCUCGACAGCGACACCGACUGCGACGACGACUGCAGCUGGCAUUGCAACUUGCAACUGCAACUGCAUUUUGACGAGAGCGCCGGCGCUGGCAUAGCAUUCGCGAUGGGUCCCAGGUCCAGUGAAAGGAUCUGUAUCCACAUCCGCCGUUGCUGCUCCUGCUGCUGCUGCAGUCGCUUUUUGUUUAUCGUACACAAUUUUUAUCUCAUAAUAAGCAAACCGCUGCUCCCCCCUGCCCUCUCCUAACCAUCAAUGCAUCGUCGACGUUGCGCUGGGGCUGCGGCGAUGAUGGCAGAUUUUUAUUCUCAAUUAUUUUGGACGACGGCGCAUUCACAAACGCAAUAUUCCAUGGAGUAGAACAGCCGACUGCGGAUCGUCCAGACCUCGCGGAGCAUUUUUAUUUCUCAAAUAUCAUCAUAAUUUUAACAAAAACAAUAGACCAAAUACGUUUUUAAAACUAAUACCUAUAGCCACCAUAGAAGUCAACGCUAACUUAACUCAAACCACCAUUCAGUUUUAAAAGCAAUAGAACGGAUGCAGUUAUACUCUUCUGAUUUUUUUAGCAAUACUCAUUACAACAAAAGGGAUUAACAACAACAUCAACUCUAGACCUGAUCAAUUAAAACAACAACAACAAAAAGCAAGCAUAUAAUACUUCAAACUUAAACUUCAACUCAAACAUUCAAAAAACAAUAAAUAAACAAGAACCAGAAUCAGAUCGAACCGUUUAAAAUCUAACAAAAAUUUGAACAUUCGGCAAUCAAAACAACAGAAAAAAACAAAAAAAAAGAAUAAUUAACAACCAAAAAGU